This 823-nucleotide ribosomal RNA is filed under the name uncultured bacterium. Its description in RNAcentral is "bacterial SSU rRNA". It matches the Rfam family "Bacterial small subunit ribosomal RNA", at positions 8 to 820 of the family's 1533-position model. The record is from RNAcentral.
AGAGUUUGAUCCUGGCUCAGGAUGAACGCUAGCUACAGGCUUAACACAUGCAAGUCGAGGGGCAGCAGGACGGUAGCUUGCUACUGUCGCUGGCGACCGGCGCACGGGUGAGUAACGCGUAUCCAACCUUCCCCUGAGUAGGGAAUAGCCCGGCGAAAGUCGGAUUAAUGCCCUAUGUUGUCCGACGAUAGCAUUUGAAUCGGAUGAAAGAUUUAUCGCUCAGGGAUGGGGAUGCGUCUGAUUAGGUUGCAGGCGGGGUAACGGCCCACCUGGCCGACGAUCAGUAGGGGUUCUGAGAGGAAGGUCCCCCACAUUGGAACUGAGACACGGUCCAAACUCCUACGGGAGGCAGCAGUGAGGAAUAUUGGUCAAUGGGCGAGAGCCUGAACCAGCCAAGUAGCGUGCAGGAAGACGGCCCUAUGGGUUGUAAACUGCUUUUGGAGGGGAAUAAAGUGGCGUACGUGUACGCCUUUGUAUGUACCCUCAGAAUAAGGACCGGCUAAUUCCGUGCCAGCAGCCGCGGUAAUACGGAAGGUCCGGGCGUUAUCCGGAUUUAUUGGGUUUAAAGGGAGCGCAGGCCGCCGAUUAAGCGUGACGUGAAAUGUCCCGGCUCAACCGGGGAGUUGCGUCGCGAACUGGUUGGCUUGAGUGCGGACGAGGUAUGCGGAAUUCGUGGUGUAGCGGUGAAAUGCUUAGAUAUCACGAAGAACCCCGAUUGCGAAGGCAGCGUACCAGGCCGUAACUGACGCUAAUGCUCGAAGGUGCGGGUAUCGAACAGGAUUAGAUACCCUGGUAGUCCGCACGGUAAACGAUGGAUGCCCGC